GACGAACGCUGGCGGCGUGCCUAAUACAUGCAAGUCGAGCGAAGUUUUUCUGGUGCUUGCACCGGAAAAACUUAGCGGCGAACGGGUGAGUAACACGUAAAGAACCUGCCUCAUAGACUGGGACAACUAUUGGAAACGAUAGCUAAUACCGGAUAACAGCAUUAACUGCAUGGUUGAUGUUUGAAAGUUGGUUUUGCUAACACUAUGAGAUGGCUUUGCGGUGCAUUAGCUAGUUGGUGGGGUAAAGGCCUACCAAGGCGACGAUGCAUAGCCGACCUGAGAGGGUGAUCGGCCACACUGGGACUGAGACACGGCCCAGACUCCUACGGGAGGCAGCAGUAGGGAAUCUUCCGCAAUGGGCGAAAGCCUGACGGAGCAACGCCGCGUGAGUGAAGAAGGAUUUCGGUUCGUAAAGCUCUGUUGUUAGGGAAGAAUGAUUAUGUAGUAACUAUAUAUAGUAGAGACGGUACCUAACCAGAAAGCCACGGCUAACUACGUG
This 499-nucleotide ribosomal RNA is filed under the name uncultured bacterium. RNAcentral describes it as "partial 16S ribosomal RNA". It matches the Rfam family "Bacterial small subunit ribosomal RNA", at positions 28 to 507 of the family's 1533-position model. The record is from RNAcentral.